GAGAGAUUUGGCAGUGCUCGCAAGAGAACUGGAACACAGGUGCUGCAUGGCUGUCGUCAGCUCGUGUCGUGAGAUGUUGGGUUAAGUCCCGCAACGAGCGCAACCCUUGUCAUUAGUUGCUACGAAAGGGCACUCUAAUGAGACUGCCGGUGACAAACCGGAGGAAGGUGGGGAUGACGUCAAGUCCUCAUGGCCCUUAUGGGUAGGGCUUCACACGUCAUACAAUGGUCGGGACAGAGGGUCGCCAACCCGCGAGGGGGAGCCAAUCCCAGAAACCCGAUCGUAGUCCGGAUCGCAGUCUGCAACUCGACUGCGUGAAGUCGGAAUCGCUAGUAAUCGCGGAUCAGCAUGUCGCGGUGAAUACGUUCCCGGG
RNAcentral lists this ribosomal RNA (373 nucleotides) under uncultured bacterium. RNAcentral's name for it is "bacterial SSU rRNA". It matches the Rfam family "Bacterial small subunit ribosomal RNA", at positions 1001 to 1378 of the family's 1533-position model. The record is from RNAcentral.